AGAGUUUGAUCAUGGCUCAGGACGAACGCUGGCGGCACGCUUAACACAUGCAAGUCGAACGAGAGAAGAGGAGCUUGCUUUUCUGAUCUAGUGGCUGACGGGUGAGUAACACGUGAGCAAUCUGCCUUUCAGAGGGGGAUACCGAUUGGAAACGAUCGUUAAUACCGCAUAACAUAAUUGAACCGCAUGAUUUGAUUAUCAAAGAUUUAUCGCUGAAAGAUGAGCUCGCGUCUGAUUAGCUAGUUGGUAGGGUAACGGCUUACCAAGGCGACGAUCAGUAGCCGGACUGAGAGGUUGAUCGGCCACAUUGGGACUGAGACACGGCCCAGACUCCUACGGGAGGCAGCAGUGGGGAAUAUUGCACAAUGGAGGAAACUCUGAUGCAGCGAUGCCGCGUGAGGGAAGAAGGUUUUAGGGUUGUAAACCUCUGUCUUCAGGGACGAAAAAAGACGGUACCUGAGGAGGAAGCUCCGGCUAACUACGUGCCAGCAGCCGCGGUAAUACGUAGGGAGCGAGCGUUGUCCGGAAUUACUGGGUGUAAAGGGAGCGUAGGCGGGAUCGCAAGUCAGAUGUGAAAACUAUGGGCUUAACCCAUAAACUGCAUUUGAAACUGUGGUUCUUGAGUGAAGUAGAGGUAAGCGGAAUUCCUAGUGUAGCGGUGAAAUGCGUAGAUAUUAGGAGGAACAUCAGUGGCGAAGGCGGCUUACUGGGCUUUAACUGACGCUGAGGCUCGAAAGCGUGGGGAGCAAACAGGAUUAGAUACCCUGGUAGUCCACGCCGUAAACGAUGAUUACUAGGUGUGGGGGGACUGACCCCUUCCGUGCCGCAGCAAACGCAAUAAGUAAUCCACCUGGGGAGUACGACCGCAAGGUUGAAACUCAAAGGAAUUGACGGGGGCCCGCACAAGCAGUGGAGUAUGUGGAUUAAUUCGAAGCAACGCGAAGAACCUUACCAGGUCUUGACAUCGUAUGCAUAGCUCAGAGAUGAGUGAAAUCUCUUCGGAGACAUAUAGACAGGUGGUGCAUGGUUGUCGUCAGCUCGUGUCGUGAGAUGUUGGGUUAAGUCCCGCAACGAGCGCAACCCUUACUGUUAGUUGCUACGCAAGAGCACUCUAGCAGGACUGCCGUUGACAAAACGGAGGAAGGUGGGGAUGACGUCAAAUCAUCAUGCCCCUUAUGACCUGGGCCUCACACGUACUACAAUGGCUGUCAACAGAGGGAAGCAAAGCCGCGAGGUGGAGCGAACCCCUAAAAGCAGUCUUAGUUCGGAUUGUAGGCUGCAACCCGCCUACAUGAAGUCGGAAUUGCUAGUAAUCGCAGAUCAGCAUGCUGCGGUGAAUACGUUCCCGGGCCUUGUACACACCGCCCGUCACGCCAUGGGAGUCGGUAACACCCGAAGCCUGUAGUCUAACCGCAAGGAGGACGCAGUCGAAGGUGGGAUUGAUGACUGGGGUGAAGUCGUAACAAGGUA
This 1470-nucleotide ribosomal RNA is filed under the name metagenome. RNAcentral's name for it is "bacterial SSU rRNA". It matches the Rfam family "Bacterial small subunit ribosomal RNA". The record is from RNAcentral.